RNAcentral lists this unclassified non-coding RNA (634 nucleotides) under Daphnia magna. Its description in RNAcentral is "syndetin-like, transcript variant X2". The record is from RNAcentral. Lineage: Eukaryota; Metazoa; Arthropoda; Branchiopoda; Diplostraca; Daphniidae.
GUGAUAGAAAAGGGGGUUGUUUUGAAUUUCUGAUGUGUUUUCUUUAUUUAUUAGUUCGUUAUAGUGUUAGUGUUUAACUAUGUCACUGUCUAAUUAUGCCAGUGGACUUAGUAUUGAGGCCAAAACACGUUAUUUGGAAAAGUUCUCAGUGACUACGACUUGAGUGUCCUUCGUGUCUGUUACCCUCAGAUUCUGCCUCCUGAAAUUUACAACAUUUUAUGGGAUAAAAUUCUUUGUGCCUGUUACCAUACACUACUUGACGGAUUUUCCGCUGUAAGGAAAUGCACGAACGAAGGUCGUGCACUAAUGCAGUUAGACUUCAGGCAUUUUCAAGUCAAAGUGGAAAGCUUGACACGUCUAAGACCUCUUCCUGACCCACAUAUUGUCGAAACAUACAUAAAGGCAUAUUAUUUACCUGAAAAUUCUUUGGAAAAAUGGAUUCAAGAACAAACGGAAUAUACUCACUAGGCAGAUGAUGAAUCUUCUUCAAUGCGUAAGUCAAGGCAGUAAAAAGAUUCGGCUGAACUUAACUUCCUUCAUGGAAGAUUUAGAUUUGAAUCGUCGAUAAAGCUCUUUGUUAUGAUUCAAGUGAUGAAAUUUUUGUAAAUUGAGAAAUAUACAUGACAUUCCAUUA